UGGAUGGUUACAUUGAACCUUCAUUUCUUGUGCUUACCAAAUAAUUAUCUUUCUUAGAAAGAAAAUGGUGUAAGCAUAUUACAUGGUACAGAAGUUACAUCUUUACCUCCGGGAUUCUUUUUUCCUGUUCCAAUUUUUACGUAACUGCAAUAAGUAACUUGUGCUUCUUGCAUACUCCUCAAUGAACAUUUUAAAAAGACCCAUUUCAAG
Molecule: unclassified non-coding RNA, 210 nt
Filed under: Hevea brasiliensis (rubber tree)
Lineage: Eukaryota; Viridiplantae; Streptophyta; Magnoliopsida; Malpighiales; Euphorbiaceae
Source: RNAcentral